Molecule: ribosomal RNA, 435 nt
Filed under: uncultured bacterium
Lineage: Bacteria
Description: bacterial SSU rRNA
Rfam family: Bacterial small subunit ribosomal RNA
Source: RNAcentral
AACGCGAAGAACCUUACCUGGGCUCGAACGGCUGGUCAACGCCGGUGGAAACAUCGGUACCCCGCAAGGGGGUCCAGUCGAGGUGCUGCAUGGCUGUCGUCAGCUCGUGUCGUGAGAUGUUGGGUUAAGUCCCGCAACGAGCGCAACCCUUGUCCUGUGUUGCCAUCAUUCAGUUGGGAACUCGCAGGAGACCGCCAGCGAUAAGCUGGAGGAAGGUGGGGAUGACGUCAAGUCCUCAUGGCCUUUAUGUCCAGGGCUACACACGUGCUACAAUGGACGGUACAAAGCGCUGCAAACCCGCAAGGGGGAGCCAAUCGCAAAAAACCGUUCUCAGUUCGGAUUGCAGGCUGCAACUCGCCUGCAUGAAGCUGGAAUCGCUAGUAAUGGCAGAUCAGCACGCUGCCGUGAAUACGUUCCCGGGUCUUGUACACACCG